This 908-nucleotide ribosomal RNA is filed under the name uncultured Clostridia bacterium. RNAcentral's name for it is "SSU rRNA". It matches the Rfam family "Bacterial small subunit ribosomal RNA", at positions 8 to 916 of the family's 1533-position model. Lineage: Bacteria; Bacillati; Bacillota; Clostridia. The record is from RNAcentral.
AGAGUUUGAUCCUGGCUCAGGAUGAACGCUGGCGGCGUGCCUAACACAUGCAAGUCGAGCGAGAAAUAUAUAAUGGAGGCUUCGGCCAAAGUUGUAUAUUGAAAGCGGCGGACGGGUGAGUAACGCGUGGGUAACCUGCCCUAUACAGGGGGAUAACAACGAGAAAUCGUUGCUAAUACCGCAUAAGCGCACAGUAUUGCAUAAUACAGUGUGAAAAACUCCGGUGGUAUAGGAUGGACCCGCGUCUGAUUAGCUAGUUGGUAAGGUAAAGGCUUACCAAGGCGACGAUCAGUAGCCGACCUGAGAGGGUGAUCGGCCACAUUGGGACUGAGACACGGCCCAAACUCCUACGGGAGGCAGCAGUGGGGAAUAUUGCACAAUGGGGGAAACCCUGAUGCAGCAACGCCGCGUGAAGGAAGAAGGUUUUCGGAUUGUAAACUUCUAUCAGCAGGGAAGAAAAUGACGGUUCCUGACUAAGAAGCCCCGGCUAACUACGUGCCAGCAGCCGCGGUAAUACGUAGGGGGCAAGCGUUAUCCGGAAUUACUGGGUGUAAAGGGUGCGUAGGCGGCAACGCAAGUCAGAUGUGAAAGCCCGAUGCUCAACAUCGGGACUGCAUUUGAAACUGCGUAGCUAGAGUGCAGGAGAGGUAAGUGGAAUUCCUAGUGUAGCGGUGAAAUGCGUAGAUAUUAGGAAGAACACCAGUGGCGAAGGCGGCUUACUGGACUGUAACUGACGCUGAGGCACGAAAGCGUGGGGAGCGAACAGGAUUAGAUACCCUGGUAGUCCACGCUGUAAACGAUGAGUGCUAGGUGUUGGGGGUCGACAGACCUUCGGUGCCGACGUUAACACAUUAAGCACUCCACCUGGGGAGUACGAUCGCAAGAUUGAAACUCAAAGGAAUUGACGG